This 414-nucleotide ribosomal RNA is filed under the name uncultured bacterium. RNAcentral describes it as "bacterial SSU rRNA". It matches the Rfam family "Bacterial small subunit ribosomal RNA", at positions 1007 to 1385 of the family's 1533-position model. The record is from RNAcentral.
AGGACGUUCCCCUUCGGGGGACAGAGUGACAGGUGGUGCAUGGUUGUCGUCAGCUCGUGUCGUGAGAUGUUGGGUUAAGUCCCGCAACGAGCGCAACCCUUGUCCUUAGUUGCCAGCAUUCAGUUGGGCACUCUAAGGAGACUGCCGGUGACAAACCGGAGGAAGGUGGGGAUGACGUCAAAUCAUCAUGCCCCUUAUGACCUGGGCUACACACGUGCUACAAUGGAUGGUACAAAGGGCUGCAAAACCGCGAGGUCUAGCCAAUCCCAUAAAACCAUUCUCAGUUCGGAUUGUAGGCUGCAACUCGCCUACAUGAAGCUGGAAUCGCUAGUAAUCGUGGAUCAGCAUGCCACGGUGAAUACGUUCCCGGGUCUUGUAACACACCGAAUGGGAAACCGGGGCUAAUACCGGAUG